Non-coding RNA from Sus scrofa (pig), 4839 nucleotides. Lineage: Eukaryota; Metazoa; Chordata; Mammalia; Artiodactyla; Suidae. The record is from RefSeq and is a predicted model, not a curated record.
GCGGCCAGACUCCGGCUCUGCAGCCGGCGCUGGGGUAGGGCUGGGGAUGGCUGGAGGCGGCCUGGCUCUCGGCGUCGCCGGCCCUAACCGGACAAAGUCCUAGGGACUCAGCGCGGCCCCAGCCGGGACCUGGGACACGGGGACUACGCCCGAAUAGGGAGCCACGUCUCUUUCCAAAACGGCCACGCGAGCUCUUUGCGCUCGGCCUCGGUGACACGGCUGACGACCUGGACUGAAGAGCUGGGGGCCCCGAGGCCUGGAGCGGUUCGCUGGGAGGCCAAUUCCCUCCGGGCGCGAGGCGCCCACGAGCUCCGCCAAGGACACCGGAGUUGGAUACCCUCGCGUCUGGAGAGUGAAAAGGGGGGCCCCCAACCUUCCUUGACCCCAAUGAGCUGGUGGUGAGGACAAAACCAGAGAGGCACAGCCAGGAGGGAGAAAAUGGUCUGGUCCUCGGGUGUACUGGGGAGAACCAUCAGCUUUCUUUGCUCAGGGCUCAGCCAGGCUAAGUUACCGUAGACACCUGUCUAUCAGGCACAGCCUUCUAUUUCAAAGGACCAUAAAUUAGCACUUCAUCUCACAGUCACCAAAUUUGUGUCCUCCCUAACUAUUCGGAAAGAUUGAUGCAGAUUUCACAUCAUAAAUUCACCUUUUCCCCCCUAAGCAAAGAAUUAACCUAUUUCCUACUAUUUAAAUUACAGGAAUGAUUAGUGACUUGACCCCAACUGUUUUUAUCAAGAUGUAGUUGUAAAAGUGUAAUUUUUGAAAUAGACUUGUUACAUAAGCCCUGGUUUCUACCAGCAAACCUUUAAGCAUUUGUAGAAAAUAAAGACCAUGUAUAUUUAUUUUUUCGGAUCAGUUUUUUUUUUUUUUUUUUUUUUUUUUUUAAAUCAAGAGUUCAUUCCAUUAGUCUGUAAACUCAUGGUCAUAUUUGAGGUUUGGCUGAAGAUGUUUAAUGGGAGCAGAAUGUUUCACCCUCCACUGUUGGCACUCAGUUUGCUUUUAAGUCAUUUCCACCAGAAGUGUCCACUGAAGUCCACACAGUAACUGCCCCUGGGCAGCAACAUUUAUUCAGUUUAAAGCAGUUCAGUGUUAACCUAUUAGAGAGGCACAUACUUUUGUUCCUCUCUCCAGGGCACAUUUGCAGUCAGCCCAAGAGGAUGUGAUAUAUUGCAUUUGCAAAAGCUAAUGGGAAUGCAAAUAUUCUUGUGCAAUAUGUUGGAUUCUGUUUUUCAUCUUGCUGACUUUACAUGAGGCUGGCCUUUUGAGGUCAUCCAUUUCUUUAAGUGUGAACCCCCAGUGGGAGUUAUGGAGGACUAAGAAAUCAAAAGUUUCUUGAAAAAUCUUUUAAAAAUCCAAUUGAAGAAAAAGAUUUUACAGGCUUGACAGCCAGAAAGUGAAAUUGUAAACAACACCCUCUCCUCAUUGCCGAGUUAAAAUACAGGUUGAAAAGGAACUCUUUGUACUGGUACCAUGAAAGAUGAUUUUUAAAAAUUCGAAAAACAAAGCAGGCCAUGAAACAGAGGAGGCGUGUUUUUCUAAAUAUUCAACAUCCACCGUGCAGUGUCACUUAAGAAUUACUGUACUUAGAUGAGGCUCAGGCAAAACCUCUAUUGUGAGAGGAAGCUACUUACUGAGAACAGUGAUUUAGGCGGUCUCGCUUCUCUUCCUACCUGGAUGGGGAGCCCACCCCAGAGAGACUGUGAUAAUAUCAGGGAGGUGGGUGUCUGGAAGUGUAGCCAGCAGCUCCCAUGUUCAGGAGGUAAAGUGGUGAAAUCUACAAGGAAAUUCUGAUCCUAGGUUGGGAUACCUGGGUGGUAGAACCUGGCUUCUGGAAAAAAGAUGCUUCCCUGCCAUGGUCUCAGAGAAGCUACUGUGGCCGUCCUCCGCAGUCCUUCCAACAAUAAAUUUGAUAACUUUGUUUGAAACGUCCUUCAUUUUGUAUGAAAUGAUGCUUGGAUCUCCCGAAUUUUGAAUUCCAGGGAUAAUUAAAGCAUUACUUUAAUCUGGUGUUACGUGACCCAUUGAAAACAAAGGUUAAGAGGAAUGAAGUUUCCUUAUUUUCCAAACCAAUUCAACUAGAAGCUGAAGUCAUACUCUGUUCAGCUUGACAAACCACUGAGCGCCCCCCACAGGCAGGUGCUGGGUUAGGGCGGGACAUUGCUGGAGCUGGGUUUGUUUGACAUUUGCUCUUAAGUAGGUACAGUUACAAUAGCCAGAUUCAUUCUUAGUGGGUUUAUGAACCUGAGCCAUCAGACCAUGUAGCCUUGGGGACAUAACAUCUUUGCGAAUUCAAAGUUUCAAGAUUAUUAAGUACCAAAUAUUUUUGCAUAAUUACCCAUUACAAAUUCAGGUUUGAGAAACAAUACUUGGGUAAUCCUUUUGCUUUCUCAGCUGCUUUUGGCAGAGAAGAACGCUUGUAUAUUCACAGCGAUAUGAUGUGUGUUUCUCUAGAAAGGAAGAGCCAUAAAAUCCUUUAAAAGUUAUAAAUAGGUUCCAAGCUUGUCAUAUCCAAAUGACUACAUAUGGAUGGCCCUGAAUCCUCGAUUCCUACUCCAUGGCAAGAUCAAUAUUAUUUCAUUACUUACAGUACAUUAUUGUCCACUUUGUUGAAGAUCUUUAUCUGAUCUGAAAGGCUAAAACCAAAAUUCCAAGUUUCAUGUUCAUUUAUCUGUUUUUUUUUUUUUUUCCCCCUCUUCCUCUUAACUUAAUCAUGGAGAUCAACUCUGGGCUAAUAAAGAAUGUUGAGUAAAGAGAGUAAUAUUUCCCAAGGGAGGGAAGUACUACUCCAGGUUAAGGAGGUGCCUCCUCCAGAGAUGGUAUUGCUCUGGGCAGUUACUCUCCUCCAGGAAGGGCUGGUCUCUUAAGAUGUUGCUUGAUCUCCUGCAGGUCAAUGAUGUCUUCCACUGGGUACCACACACAUGAAUACUGAAGAAAUAUUUAUUGGAGAGACCUGCUAUUGUAAAGCAAGUAUCUUAUCUACUUGCAAGCUUGAUGAGAGAAAAUACAUUCUUAGAACUAACCAUUUGCAAAAUAUUUCAGCCAGGCACUUUUUUUUUUUUUUAAUUUGGAAAACAAAAAUGUAGCUUCCAUGACGUCUUUUGUUUUGGUUGUUUGGAGAUGUUUACCUUCUUUUGAGAGUCUGUGAGCAUUCUGAUGUAAACCCAACAGGUUUUCUGCCCUUUGCAGAAGUCCCAUGAUCAGAUGUAUUUCUGUUUUUCUGGGUGGGUUGGUAAUUUUCUCUUAGUAACAGAUAACAAAUGUGUGUAAUAGGUUAUGCUGCUAUUUUAGUGUGCAGAAGAGUUGGCAGUCAGAAACCUAGUCAGUUCAGCUCAGAUCCACCUCUGGGAGAAUUCUGUUCAUGCUGCAUUAACCCACAUCUAAGCUGGUCUAUGGCCUUGUUGUGAGAGGCAUCUUCAGAAAUUUGGAGGCUCAAAGGAAAGAAUGGAAGAGACAGCACAGUGACCAGUUAAUGGGAGUGCAGGAGUGUCAGUUAAGGCGAGCCUGAAGUCUGUCUGUAUACGCUUAUCAGGCUCUGCCAAAGAGAUAAGUGCCAAUAAAUUAACUAAGAAACAUACUGGAGAGUCAAACACAAUCCGGAGUUCUGUCAGAUUCUGGCAGUGACUCUGAGGGGAUCUUGUGCAAAUAAAAAAAAGCUUGUGUACUGUGUUUAAAUCACAUAAACAGUGAAAAUAAUGAAAUAAAAAUUAAUAUGCAUGUGGAUAUGCAUAAUUAUGGUUAAGAUAUCUAUUUCUUUCUGUUUACAAAACAAAGCAAUUCAUCUAAUUAUACCCACAAAAACACAGUGAAACAACCCAAACAUUUUAUGAAUAUAAUUUAUUUUGGCUUAUCUGUUCUGUUUCUAUUUAUAUUACACUGCAUGAAAGUACUUGGCCCCUAUUUGUAUAUGGAACAACGUCAUUUUCAACUGGCAUCGAGACUCCAUCUCAAGGGGUCAAUGAUAAGAUUAAAUCAGAGUGAAACGAGGCCAGAGAACUCAAUCUACUCUAAAAAAGGAGAGACUCCUGCAGAGCUGAUGGCAACCUGAUUUCUUGCAUCUAUUCUAACUGACCUGAGAGAAGCGUCAGUGAGCACAGGGCACCAGGCAGAGCGUCUCUGAAUCACCUAGAUGGUCUCAUCCAUCUCUGAUUUCUAAUGUUGUCCUCUAAAAACCUACAGCAGUCCUUGUGUAACCUUGACUAAUGGCAUGUAAAUAAAGAUCACCUUGAGUCUGAUGAGAUCUCAUAGAACAGAUGUGCUUCACAUGCUUCACAAUCUCUGAUGAAUCCUUAAUAAGAUUUUACAUAUAUGCAUAAAUGUAAGUCUUGUUAUCGUCUCCAGUUUACAUAGACAUAGCUUGUUGUGGCUGCAUAUGGGCACAUUCCAUAUGGAAAGCUUUUAUAGGACAUACACGCAUUUUGUCUUGCUAUGACAUCAAUUCUGCCAUAAAGCAUUUUUUUUUCCUUUUCUUGUCAGUAGGAGAAAAGGUCAGGUUUUCAAGAAGAACAGAAGAAAAUUCCACAGAGGAAAAGCUAGUUUUCCCAGCUGCGUUUUACCAAGAAGUCAUUCCCACUUCGAUCUACAAAGCUAGGACAGGUUACCUUCUCGUGGUGCUGACAACGGAAAAUAUUGGAACCGGAAAUUAAGAGGGUUUUAGGUCAGAGGCAAGGUUUGAUGGGUAAGCUUCUCAGACAGGAGGUCCGGAAGACCAGAAAGAUUUGAACCCUAAGAUCAUGGCUUAUUGAUAAGGCCCAAGAGAAAAAUGCCUUGGAGAUAGGAAAAGAGGCAGGGCCCUUCACUUCACUUAGGCUGUCCCCUGAUACAGCUGCCACACAAAGCUUU